This 252-nucleotide ribosomal RNA is filed under the name uncultured prokaryote. RNAcentral's name for it is "partial 16S ribosomal RNA". It matches the Rfam family "Bacterial small subunit ribosomal RNA", at positions 525 to 775 of the family's 1533-position model. The record is from RNAcentral.
ACGUCUUCUUCAAGCGUUAUCCGGAGUUACUGGGAGUAAAGGGCGUGCAGGCGGUUGGCUAAGUUCGUUGUGAAAGAGCCCAGGCUUAACAGGGCGAGGACAAUGAAGACUGGUCAGCUAGAGGACGGUAGAGGGGUGUGGAAUUCCGCGUGUAGCAGUGAAAUGCGUAGAUAUGCGGAGGAACACCGAUGGCGAAGGCAAUCCCCUGGGCCUGCACUGACGCUCAUGCACGAAAGCGUGGGGAGCAAACAG